UACGAGGGGUGCAAGCGUUGCUCGGAAUUAUUGGGCGUAAAGGGUAGGUAGGUGGUCUCAUUUGUCAGGGGUGAAAGCCUUGGGCUUAACCCAAGAAGUGCCCCUGAAACGGUGAGACUGGAGUCCUGGAGAGGGUCGUGGAAUUCCCGGUGUAGCGGUGAAAUGCUUAGAUAUCGUCAAGAACACCGAUAGUGAAGACAGCUUACCAAGCUUCAACUGACGCUGAGGCACGAAAGUGUGGGGAUCAAACAGG
Molecule: ribosomal RNA, 253 nt
Filed under: uncultured bacterium
Lineage: Bacteria
Description: partial 16S ribosomal RNA
Rfam family: Bacterial small subunit ribosomal RNA
Source: RNAcentral